Molecule: ribosomal RNA, 448 nt
Filed under: uncultured bacterium
Lineage: Bacteria
Description: bacterial SSU rRNA
Rfam family: Bacterial small subunit ribosomal RNA
Source: RNAcentral
AUUGAACGCUGGCGGAAUGCUUUACACAUGCAAGUCGAACGGCAGCACGGGAGCUUGCUCCUGGUGGCGAGUGGCGAACGGGUGAGUAAUGCGUCGGAACGUACCGAGUAAUGGGGGAUAACGCACCGAAAGGUGUGCUAAUACCGCAUACGCCCUGAGGGGGAAAGUGGGGGAUCGUAAGACCUCACGUUAUUCGAGCGGCCGACGUCUGAUUAGCUAGUUGGUGGGGUAAUGGCUCACCAAGGCGACGAUCAGUAGCGGGUCUGAGAGGAUGAUCCGCCACACUGGGACUGAGACACAGCCCAGACUCCUACGGGAGGCAGCAGUGGGGAAUUUUGGACAAUGGGGGCAACCCUGAUCCAGCCAUUCCGCGUGAGUGAAGAAGGCCUCGGUUGGUAAAGACGUCUUUCUAGCUGGAACGGACGGUAGGUGCGUCUAACAUAGCGCG